RNAcentral lists this unclassified non-coding RNA (241 nucleotides) under Hevea brasiliensis (rubber tree). Lineage: Eukaryota; Viridiplantae; Streptophyta; Magnoliopsida; Malpighiales; Euphorbiaceae. The record is from RNAcentral.
ACAUCAAAUGCAAAUCUAAGCAAGAAUCACUCCAGACAUUCUCCCAUACUUGUCUACGUUUCCCUUCUAGCACAACCAGUAGGGCCCCUCGUUUCUGACCAUAGUGCCAUAGCAUGUCAGUCAAAGCAUUAUAAAAGGCAGAUGCUGUUGAAAAGUCCAUUAAUUUUACUUCAUCAAAUAGGGAUUGUGCUUGCACCCAAACAUUCUCUCUAUAACCCAUUAGAAGUCCGUGUGCCACACC